ACGUAGGUGGCGAGCGUUGUCCGGAAUUAUUGGGCGUAAAGGGAGCGCAGGCGGGAGGUCAAGUCUAUCUUAAAAGUGCGGGGCUCAACCCCGUGAGGGGAUGGAAACUGGUCUUCUUGAGUGCAGGAGAGGAAAGCGGAAUUCCUAGUGUAGCGGUGAAAUGCGUAGAUAUUAGGAGGAACACCAGUGGCGAAGGCGGCUUUCUGGACUGUAACUGACGCUGAGGCUCGAAAGCGUGGGGAGCGAACAG
This 250-nucleotide ribosomal RNA is filed under the name uncultured bacterium. Its description in RNAcentral is "partial 16S ribosomal RNA". It matches the Rfam family "Bacterial small subunit ribosomal RNA", at positions 525 to 775 of the family's 1533-position model. The record is from RNAcentral.